This 468-nucleotide ribosomal RNA is filed under the name uncultured bacterium. RNAcentral's name for it is "partial 16S ribosomal RNA". It matches the Rfam family "Bacterial small subunit ribosomal RNA", at positions 28 to 507 of the family's 1533-position model. The record is from RNAcentral.
GACGAACGCUGGCGGCGUGCUUAACACAUGCAAGUCGAACGGAAAGGCCCUGCUUUUGUGGGGUGCUCGAGUGGCGAACGGGUGAGUAACACGUGAGUAACCUGCCCUUGACUUUGGGAUAACUUCAGGAAACUGGGGCUAAUACCGGAUAGGAGCUCCUGCUGCAUGGUGGGGGUUGGAAAGUUUCGGCGGUUGGGGAUGGACUCGCGGCUUAUCAGCUUGUUGGUGGGGUAGUGGCUUACCAAGGCUUUGACGGGUAGCCGGCCUGAGAGGGUGACCGGCAACAUUGGGACUGAGAUACGGACCAGACUCCAACGGGAGGCAGCAGUGGGGAAUAUUGCACAAUGGGCGGAAGCCUGAUGCAGCAACGCCGCGUGCGGGAUGACGGCCUUCGGGUUGUAAACCGAUUUCGCCUGUGACGAAGCGUGAGUGACGGUAAUGGGUAAAGAAGCACCGGCUAACUACGUG